ACGGAGGGAGCUAGCGUUGUUCGGAAUUACUGGGCGUAAAGCGCACGUAGGCGGCUUUGUAAGUCAGAGGUGAAAGCCUGGAGCUCAACUCCAGAAUUGCCUUUGAUACUGCAACGCUAGAGUAUGGGAGAGGUAAGUGGAAUUCCGAGUGUAGCGGUGAAAUUCGUAGAUAUUCGGAGGAACACCAGUGGCGAAGGCGGCUCCCUGGACUAAUAUUGACGCUGAGGUGCGAAAGCGUGGGGAGCAAACAG
Molecule: ribosomal RNA, 251 nt
Filed under: uncultured prokaryote
Description: partial 16S rRNA
Rfam family: Bacterial small subunit ribosomal RNA
Source: RNAcentral